UUUGGAGUCUGCGCAUUGUUGAGUGGGACAAGGUGGUGUAGUUAAUGGUGUCGGUCAUUAGAAAGAAUAUUUUUUGAAGUAACUGUGGUGUAAAAAGCGAGGCGGAACAUCGUACUGCUUUUGCGAAGUGAUUUGUGUGGCUGAGUACCAAAAUAUCCUGAAUGUGCGUACUAUUACCCCAAAAUAAAAGACCAUAGGAUAUGUUACUGUGAAGAAAAGCAAAAAGAAGAAAAGCAAAAAGGCUGUUCUUACAUAACCCAAAGGAAAUCACAACAGCUGCUCGUGUCUUUUUGAGGGCAUCCAAAAGAAAUAUUGAAAUUUCAGCUGAAAACUUCACGGAAAGUUUUCAAACUAACAGUCGUCUCUUUAUUAGACUCAUUGUAUAUUCUGUAUAGUUUGGCUUCAAGUAGCCCUUCGGGUAAAAGUUGUAUAGCUGCUGUUGAUCACCAUGUCACACUCAAAGCCAGAGCAAAGUUGCCCUGACACAGACGAGCUGAUGCUGGCCGGGUAUACGAGAGUGGAGAGUAUGUGGUCCCACUUAGACACACGAAUGCAAACGAUAGACACCUCGCUUGCCACAACGUCUACAAAGCUGCAAGACAUAAAGGCAUGGCUCAUCAGGGAGAAUAAGGAGCAGCGGAAGAAGGCAGCCCAGAUUAACAGGGAGCUGCAAAACUUGCAGGAAAAUUUCAUGUGGGCUGACGAGUCACUGUCAACAGAUGACUCCAGACUGCAGAACGAGAUUACCCUGCUGACCAGAGAGAAGAGGGAGUUGCUGAAGAGGAUGGGCGUGUUCAUGGUUGUGAAAAAAGAGCUGCUGAAGAUGCUGGCCCUCCACAAGAAGACUAUGAAGAAGAGGACUUUGGUGAUGGAGCUCAUGGAGUCAGCAGACAACCAUUGGUCGCGUGUACGUAAGUCCCUAUUACACCAUAGGCGUGAGAACUGCAAACAGAAUGAUGAAAACCUUGUCCCUGACACAGAUACAGAUUGAGAGCUGGAAUGCAUGCAACAUAAGAGAAUCAUUACAUCAUACCAAAAAAUUAUUUCAAAAAUGCUAGAAAAAUGAGGAUGACUCUUAGUGCCAGCUUUACAUAUACACUUGGUUCUAAUUUUGUAUUGCUUGCUUAUUGUGUAUGAUUGGCAUUUGAACUGUAAUUUCUUUUUUAUGUUUUAAUGGUGAAUAUGCUUUUUUGCUGCUAUGGAAAAUGAGAUAAUUUCCUGUAGAGAAUAAAAGUGCUGUAGUUGGUCAAAAAAAGUAUAUUAAAAAUAUGAU
Schistocerca nitens (vagrant locust) is the source of this 1273-nucleotide RNA transcript. RefSeq lists it as uncharacterized. Lineage: Eukaryota; Metazoa; Arthropoda; Insecta; Orthoptera; Acrididae. The record is from RefSeq and is a predicted model, not a curated record. The transcript is spliced from 7 exons.